GGGCGGUUCCCCCUUCGGGGGGACAGGUGACAGGUGGUGCAUGGUUGUCGUCAGCUCGUGUCGUGAGAUGUGGUUAAGUCCCGCAACGAGCGCAACCCUCGACCUUAGUUGCCAGCAUUCAGUUGGGCACUCUAAGGUGACUGCCGGCUAAAAGUCGGAGGAAGGUGGGGAUGACGUCAAAUCAUCAUGCCCCUUAUGACCUGGGCUACACACGUGCUACAAUGGGCGGUACAAAGGGUCGCGAACCCGCGAGGGGGAGCCAAUCCCAAAAAGCCGCUCUCAGUUCGGAUUGCAGGCUGCAACUCGCCUGCAUGAAGCCGGAAUCGCUAGUAAUCGCGGAUCAGCAUGCCGCGGUGAAUACGUUCCCGGGCCUU
RNAcentral lists this ribosomal RNA (374 nucleotides) under uncultured Anoxybacillus sp. Its description in RNAcentral is "bacterial SSU rRNA". It matches the Rfam family "Bacterial small subunit ribosomal RNA", at positions 1007 to 1382 of the family's 1533-position model. Lineage: Bacteria; Bacillati; Bacillota; Bacilli; Caryophanales; Anoxybacillaceae. The record is from RNAcentral.